UACGUAGGGGGCAAGCGUUGUCCGGAAUCAUUGGGCGUAAAGAGCGUGUAGGCGGCUUGGCAAGUCUGGUGUGAAAUCUUGCGGCUCAACCGCAAGCGGUCACUGGAAACUGCCUCGCUAGAGUCCGGAAGAGGAGAGCGGAAUUCCUGGUGUAGCGGUGGAAUGCGCAGAUAUCAGGAAGAACACCCGUGGCGAAGGCGGCUCUCUGGGACGGUACUGACGCUGAGGCGCGAAAGCGUGGGGAGCAAACAGG
This 253-nucleotide ribosomal RNA is filed under the name uncultured bacterium. RNAcentral's name for it is "partial 16S ribosomal RNA". It matches the Rfam family "Bacterial small subunit ribosomal RNA", at positions 524 to 776 of the family's 1533-position model. The record is from RNAcentral.